GCCUACGGGACGCAGCAGUCGAGAAUCAUUCACAAUGGGGGAAACCCUGAUGGUGCGACGCCGCGUGGGGGAAUGAAGGUCUUCGGAUUGUAAACCCCUGUCAUGUGGGAGCAAAUUAAAAAGGUAGUACCACAAGAGGAAGAGACGGCUAACUCUGUGCCAGCAGCCGCGGUAAUACAGAGGUCUCAAGCGUUGUUCGGAAUCACUGGGCGCAAAGCGUGCGUAGGCUGUUUCGUAAGUCGUGUGUGAAAGGCGCGAGCUCAACCCGCGGACGGCACAUGAUACUGCGAGACUAGAGUAAUGGG
RNAcentral lists this ribosomal RNA (305 nucleotides) under uncultured bacterium. RNAcentral describes it as "bacterial SSU rRNA". It matches the Rfam family "Bacterial small subunit ribosomal RNA", at positions 337 to 653 of the family's 1533-position model. The record is from RNAcentral.